CAAUAGCGUAUACUAAUGUUGUUGCAGUUAAAAAGCUCGUAGUUGAACUUCUGGUAGGAGUGUCCCGGCCUUUUUGUUUUUACAAAUUGUAUGCUGUGUGACAUCUCAGGCCAUCCUUCUUCUUUGUUUAAAGAAGAUCUUUCACUGUAAAAAAAUUAGGGUGUUCAAAGCAAAAGUUUCUUUGGAAUAUAUUAGUAUGGGAUGAUAAGAUAGGCUCUAGAUGCUAUUUUGUUGGUUUGCACAUUUAGAGAAUGAUUAACAGGGACAGUUGGGGGUAUUCGUAUUUACAUGUCAGAGGUGAAAUUCUUGGAUUUUGGAAAGACGAACUACUGCGAAAGCAUUUACCAAGGAUGUUUUCAUUAA
Molecule: ribosomal RNA, 363 nt
Filed under: uncultured eukaryote
Lineage: Eukaryota
Description: partial 18S ribosomal RNA
Rfam family: Eukaryotic small subunit ribosomal RNA
Source: RNAcentral